CCAUACCAAAAACAAUUGCCAUCGGAGCAUACAAACGGGCUAAUUUCGUCGCGAAACUAGUCAAUAUUAGCUCCGGGGAAAGUCUCCGGUCAUCAUGUUACUAUGGUCUUGAAAAGAAGCUGUCACAGGCUUCUUGGAUAGAAUUGGAAACAUAAAGCACGACGCUUUUUGGACCUGGCCGCUAGGUCUUAGACCAUACCAAAGUGUCCGCGCUGCGGGGGCUCGGUCCAACUUCGGCAUUAUUGCAAAGCUAUUUGGCUUGUGCAUGAUUACAGUCAUGGCAAUUGCUUUUCUGCUUGUAAGAAAGGUAACCCGAUGGAGCUUAGUCUUGCGGUAUG
This 338-nucleotide RNase MRP RNA is filed under the name Tortispora caseinolytica NRRL Y-17796. RNAcentral describes it as "RNase MRP". It matches the Rfam family "RNase MRP". Rfam says of the family: RNase MRP is an enzymatically active ribonucleoprotein with two distinct roles in eukaryotes. In mitochondria it plays a direct role in the initiation of mitochondrial DNA replication. Lineage: Eukaryota; Fungi; Ascomycota; Trigonopsidomycetes; Trigonopsidales; Trigonopsidaceae. The record is from Rfam by way of RNAcentral.